CCCUUAGAUGUUCUGGGCCGCACGCGCGCUACACUGAUGCAUUCAACGAGUUUCUUCCUGGUCCGAGAGGAAUGGGUAACCUUUUGAAAGUGCAUCGUGAUAGGGAUAGACUAUUGCAAUUAUUGGUCUUCAACGAGGAAUUCCUAGUAGACGUAGUUCAUCAGACUGCAUCGAUUACGUCCCUGCCCUUUGUACACACCGCCCGUCGCUCCUACCGAUUGAAUGCUCAGGUGAGCCAUUCGGACUUUCAUCAUGCUGGUUUCCCGUUUUGAUGAAGGAAAGUCUUGCGAACCUUAUCAUUUAGAGGAAGGAGAAGUCGUAACA
Molecule: ribosomal RNA, 324 nt
Filed under: uncultured eukaryote
Lineage: Eukaryota
Description: partial 18S ribosomal RNA
Rfam family: Eukaryotic small subunit ribosomal RNA
Source: RNAcentral